UUCAAUGGCAGCCAUUCGCGGGCAGGCUUCGGCUUGGCCGGCGUCAGUGCACCGGUUUCUCACCCCGCGCAAUGGCUGCCACCUUU
Non-coding RNA from Pseudomonas putida S11, 86 nucleotides. NCBI's taxonomy places the organism in Bacteria, Pseudomonadati, Pseudomonadota, Gammaproteobacteria, Pseudomonadales, Pseudomonadaceae. The record is from Rfam.